This 1353-nucleotide ribosomal RNA is filed under the name Staphylococcus saprophyticus. RNAcentral's name for it is "bacterial SSU rRNA". It matches the Rfam family "Bacterial small subunit ribosomal RNA", at positions 98 to 1436 of the family's 1533-position model. The record is from RNAcentral. Lineage: Bacteria; Bacillati; Bacillota; Bacilli; Caryophanales; Staphylococcaceae.
GCGGACGGGUGAGUAACACGUGGGUAACCUACCUAUAAGACUGGGAUAACUUCGGGAAACCGGAGCUAAUACCGGAUAACAUUUGGAACCGCAUGGUUCUAAAGUGAAAGAUGGUUUUGCUAUCACUUAUAGAUGGACCCGCGCCGUAUUAGCUAGUUGGUAAGGUAACGGCUUACCAAGGCGACGAUACGUAGCCGACCUGAGAGGGUGAUCGGCCACACUGGAACUGAGACACGGUCCAGACUCCUACGGGAGGCAGCAGUAGGGAAUCUUCCGCAAUGGGCGAAAGCCUGACGGAGCAACGCCGCGUGAGUGAUGAAGGGUUUCGGCUCGUAAAACUCUGUUAUUAGGGAAGAACAAACGUGUAAGUAACUGUGCAUGUCUUGACGGUACCUAAUCAGAAAGCCACGGCUAACUACGUGCCAGCAGCCGCGGUAAUACGUAGGUGGCAAGCGUUAUCCGGAAUUAUUGGGCGUAAAGCGCGCGUAGGCGGUUUCUUAAGUCUGAUGUGAAAGCCCACGGCUCAACCGUGGAGGGUCAUUGGAAACUGGGAAACUUGAGUGCAGAAGAGGAAAGUGGAAUUCCAUGUGUAGCGGUGAAAUGCGCAGAGAUAUGGAGGAACACCAGUGGCGAAGGCGACUUUCUGGUCUGUAACUGACGCUGAUGUGCGAAAGCGUGGGGAUCAAACAGGAUUAGAUACCCUGGUAGUCCACGCCGUAAACGAUGAGUGCUAAGUGUUAGGGGGUUUCCGCCCCUUAGUGCUGCAGCUAACGCAUUAAGCACUCCGCCUGGGGAGUACGACCGCAAGGUUGAAACUCAAAGGAAUUGACGGGGACCCGCACAAGCGGUGGAGCAUGGUGGUUUAAUUCGAAGCAACGCGAAGAACCUUACCAAAUCUUGACAUCCUUUGAAAACUCUAGAGAUAGAGCCUUCCCCUUCGGGGGACAAAGUGACAGGUGGUGCAUGGUUGUCGUCAGCUCGUGUCGUGAGAUGUUGGGUUAAGUCCCGCAACGAGCGCAACCCUUAAGCUUAGUUGCCAUCAUUAAGUUGGGCACUCUAGGUUGACUGCCGGUGACAAACCGGAGGAAGGUGGGGAUGACGUCAAAUCAUCAUGCCCCUUAUGAUUUGGGCUACACACGUGCUACAAUGGACAAUACAAAGGGCAGCUAAACCGCGAGGUCAUGCAAAUCCCAUAAAGUUGUUCUCAGUUCGGAUUGUAGUCUGCAACUCGACUACAUGAAGCUGGAAUCGCUAGUAAUCGUAGAUCAGCAUGCUACGGUGAAUACGUUCCCGGGUCUUGUACACACCGCCCGUCACACCACGAGAGUUUGUAACACCCGAAGCCGGUGGAGU